GGCCGCCUGGCGUAAUGGCAACGCGUCUGACUACGAUGAGCUGCUAUCGGAGACUGCAGGUUCGAGCCCUACGGUGGUCA
Epithele typhae is the source of this 80-nucleotide non-coding RNA. The record is from the annotation of a RefSeq genome assembly. NCBI's taxonomy places the organism in Eukaryota, Fungi, Basidiomycota, Agaricomycetes, Polyporales, Epitheliaceae.